This is a long non-coding RNA of Oncorhynchus tshawytscha (Chinook salmon), 4629 nucleotides long. The record is from Ensembl. NCBI's taxonomy places the organism in Eukaryota, Metazoa, Chordata, Actinopteri, Salmoniformes, Salmonidae.
CUUGACCAGAGAGGUGUACUGAUGAGGUGGACACACACAUGAACUCACACACGCACACUUUUAUUCAUGGCCACAAAUCAUUUUGAAAUUCACUAUGUAUAGAGGUCUUGUACUUUGACUCCCAUUCCCUGACUGAAUUGUGGAUUUACAAUAGCGAUCAAUUUAACCAAAGCUUCACACAGUUUAAAAUGUGCUUUUUAUUACAAAGAAUACACAGCUAAAUAUACAAAAUGUUUAUAAUAUACAAAAGUUACAAAAUACGGAAUUGUUUUUCAUUUAAAACAAAUUAUUUUAGAGCAUUAUAUAAAAAAAAGUAGUGUGUAGUUCAGUACAAUGCGAGGCGGUGUAAAAAUGAUAGCUACUACAAAAACAGGCAACACACCGGGCAAAAGUUGCUCUUUCCAUUUUUAGAACUCGUCAAUUGGCCAACAAGCAGUUCACUCUCCACAUUGUUCCAAUGCACUGAAAGGUCAUGCUGCUCACAGGGAAGGAAGCUCCUCCCAAAGCGUUUUGUACACUUACUGUCCUUUUAUGAGUCCAUCUUUGAGUUGGGGAGUGUAGCGAAAUACCUUGGGUACUGGUAUCAAUGGUUCACCAUUACAAGUUGUCCUCAAAAUGCUCCUGAAGCCUCUCGCCUCUGUUACUGUAUCGCCUGUGUCUCCUAAACAGAAACCAACAAACUCUAAUAUGGGUAAAUACAACAACACACUGUACAUUUUUUACAUUUUAGUCAUUUAGAAGACACUCUUAUCCAGAGUGACUUACAGGACCAACUAGGGAUAAGUGCUUUGCUCAAGGGCACAUCGGCAUAUUUUGCACCUAGUCGGCUCGGGGAUUCGAACCAGCAACCUGUUGGUUAUGGCCCAACGCUCUUAAUCGCUAGGCUACCUGCCACCCUAUAUUGUACUGACAAUGUCAAGCGUGCAAUGCCUUGAUGUGAUAUUGUAACUUCCCAUUUGGAGGUGCCCAUCUAUUCUCUUUUCCCAUUCUGCAGUCUGUCAGCGACCUCCGUUUCCUUGCUAUGUAUGGCUUUAUCUUACAGUAUGUACCGUAGCUCAAAAUGAAAUGUGUAUCUGUGCCGCGUGACUAGGGUGUCAGUGUGUGUUACCGUACCUCCACAGUAGAAAAGCGAGCGCUGCUCCACAGACCAGCAAGAUGAUGAGAGAGACCACCGCCACCGUGGUCCUCUUGCCCUCUCUCUCACACGGCUCUGACGGACCAGACAGGACAAGGUCACAACAAAACAAUAUGGGGACGUGUUAUGGUGUCCAUAGGACAGCCUCGGAGUCACUUGGACUUGGCUCUCGAAAUAUGGACACUGUUCAUACAGUAUUAACACGAACGCUACAUAGGGCAUACCACUCACACACACACCGAGGCUGUACAUUCAAUGGAUAUGAAUGGUGAGGGCACUAGCUUGGGCAUCGACUGUUUCUGCAUUCAGCAAUGCCUUUGAGGAAAAGUUACCUACCUACCUGUUCUGUCUGUCAAGGAGAUAUGAUAUUUCUUACCCAUGCUUGGCAGUGCUAUUACAUAGAACAUUGGUCACCAACCCUGGUCCUGGAGAACUACAGGGUCUGCAGGGUUUUCUUACAACCUAGCACAACCAUAUCUGAUUCAGCCUUGAGCUACGCUAGCUAGCUAGAGGAACAGUCUGCAUACACUGUAGCUCUGCAUAACCAGGGUGGGUGACCACUGGCAUAGAGACUAACAGACAGAUGGCUGAUUCACAUCAUAGGGCCAACAUGAUUAUUUCUAGCACGGUUCCAUCAAAAACAGUAUGGUGGAUGCGUAACCAGGCCGUGCCAGUGCAGCUUGGCUUGGCUCGGUUUGGUCCUGGAAUGUGAAUCAGGCAUGAGAGACAGAUGGGGUUUGUGUAGAGACUGAGAGACAGAUGGGGUUAGUUAGUGCGUGGGGUUCCAUACCUGCUGUGUAGGUGGCAGAGCUGUGGCCCAGCUUGUUGCUCACCAUGCAGGUGAAGUGACCACAGAUGGGGGCGGAGGAGACGACGAGGGUCUUCCCAUCAGGCGAAACGUGUCCCACAGCAUCGGUUAUGGCUGCCCGCUCGUGGAGCCAGCUGAAUUUAAGGUCUGUCCCCCAGGUCUCCACACAGAACAGGGAGGAGUGGGACACAUUCACUCUCACUGAGGGGUGGUGCACAGCCUCUGAGAGGAAAGACAAGAGACAGCGAAAAGAGAAUGAGACCAGGUGUGAGAAAGGUGAGACUUGGAAGUUGGAACUGAAAAUUGAGGAGGAGAAAGAGAGUGACAGAGGGUGGUUGAGUCGUGAGUUGAGCGUGUUGUCUACUGAGGCUUGGGGGGGGUGACUUGAGAAGUAUGAGGCUGUGAGGAGAAAACAGAUCAGAUACUUAGAAAGAAGACAUUUGACAGAGACAAAUAUAGAGCUUGGAACUAUUGAAGAGGGAUUGUGCGAGACAGUCGUUGGACUGAUAACCUGAAAUAUUACCGACUCAAAGUUGAGUGUUGGACUGCAGUGAAGCAUAUAUUUAUAUUAUAAAGACAAAGAAAGCACUUAGGCAGAACUGACCCAACAGUUCAUCCUCUAUAAGAACAUAACUCCAGAGGACAGGAAGUAAUAUCUAGGAAUGUAUUCCAAACGGCAACAUAAUCAGAAAGUCUGUGUUGUCACAUAACAACACGUCAUUAUAGUGACAUUUUAAGUAAUACGUCAGCAUAGGUGACAUGGAACAACGGUUUAAUGUCACUUUUGAUAUAUUCUACUUAGACCAUGUUGACCGUCGUACCGUACUCCUUGACGGUACACUGUCCAGAGGUCUUGACGCCAGCCUGGUCAGUGACGGUCACGAUGUACACCCCACUGUCUGCCACGCCAAAGCCCUCCAGCUUCAGUAUUGACCCCUGCUCCUCCAAACUCAGACGCCCGUCCAAGCGUUUUUCUUGACCGGGGAACGUAAUCAACGUCACCUUCCCAGGAUUCCCUGGGGUCUUUGCGUUCUCUGGCUCCCGCUCCCAGUUUAUCAUGGAGAUCUUUUCUUUGGGACCGCGGUCGAUCUGGACCUGGAGAACUAGACGUCCGGCUGGGAGAACAUUGACCGGCUGCGGGGUCUGGAAGUGGACCGACACGCACUGGUACCCACAAGACACUGGGGACAGAAACAUGAUCAUGCGUUGUUAUUGUAUUGCCUGUGGUGAUUGGAUAUCAAUACCGUACCAACCUUCGAUGGAGCCUGAUGGAGAGAGAAAUUUGAGGAAGGGCUCAUUGUAAUGGCAGGAGUGGAGCAAAUGGCCAUUUCAAUGAGCCGGUCCUCCGAUUUUAAAAUGACACCAGCCUCCACUGCUAACCACUGAUACGGUUGGUUUCUAUGUUGUUCAUGACUUAGCUCAUGAUUUCUUACAUUUAUAUUUAGUAUGAAGUGAAGAGGACUUUCAUCAGGUAGUCAAACAGUGACUGAGAGCACAUGACAGUUCUGCCUGAUGUGAUGUUUGUCGAGAUUUGUCGUUACAUGACUAACCCUCUGUGGAAUCCUCCAUCUAACACAAAGGGAAGUUUACAUCUCUUACAGGGAAAGACAUUUCCUCAGAAGACGCAGAUUGAAACACACCCUAUUGUCUCAAUCACCUUAGAUGACCAGAGUUGCACACUUCUUGGCUCGGUCUAGACAUAUACAAUGGUACUGUAUUCCUUGGCUUUGAACUCAAACAGUUUUCUUUCAGAAGUGUGACGCAUGCAACUACAACAUAGGUUGAGUGUGCACUGAAGACAGUAUAUCACACACAAACUGAAAAACCGGAAGAAUCCAUUUUCAUGUAAUCUCGACACCCAGAACCAAAUGUUAAGGCUGCCACGUGGGACAACUGAUAAUGUAUCAGUUCAAUACUAAUAUGGUAAAUACAACAUACACAAAUGGCCAAAUAGAGCAGUCAAAUACACGCCGCCUGGUUGCACCAGUACACUUAGAUACAGCCGUGUGACAUUUUUAUGGAUCAUGUUGCACAGAAGCACUUACACAAGAGCAGAGGUAGCAGAGAGAGGCUCCAGGAGAGACAGUGUUGCAGCCUCAUGGCACCUGAGAGAGAGGGAGAGAGAGAAUAACAGACAGACAGAGUCUGAGACUGAGAAAGGGAGCGAGUGAAAGAGAGAGAGGAAUAACAGACUGAGAGGGCAUUUCUCUUGGAUGGUUCCUGUGACCCCUCUGAUAAGAGACAGAUAGAGACCCAGUUUCCAAAGAAGAGGUCAUUGUUUCACUUCCUAAGUCUGACUCCUAAGUCUGACUUAGAAGCUUGCCUUAAGUAACCGGUCUAUAUUUAGGCACAGACAAUGACUUUGCACUGGAUCAAAGUCAGCAGCUGUUUAAAAUUCACUUACCUUCCCAACUGUACAAUGGAUUAUGAGUCAGAGAUUAUGGAAGUGGCAGGAGUGCAUUCAUUCAAAAGGAAGCCCACUUUUUAGGGGUAGGGCACAGCACGCCAGGAAGCUUGGAUGCAGUUUUAUAAUAUAAAAACUAAAAAAUCCUUACGCAAAUAGAACAGAAAAAUGUCAACCAUCAAAAACAACCCAAAGAAAGAGGCUGGAGUGAACUGAAAGUUGCUCUGAUAGAUUGCAGUCUGGUGCAGGACUUUGUACUUGCAGCCCUUCCCUGUGUGAGGU